RNAcentral lists this ribosomal RNA (624 nucleotides) under uncultured bacterium. Its description in RNAcentral is "bacterial SSU rRNA". It matches the Rfam family "Bacterial small subunit ribosomal RNA", at positions 163 to 786 of the family's 1533-position model. The record is from RNAcentral.
UUAAUACAAGAUGGCAUCAUGAGUUCACAUGUUCACAUGAUUAAAGGUAUUCCGGUAGACGAUGGGGAUGCGUUCCAUUAGAUAGUAGGCGGGGUAACGGCCCACCUAGUCUUCGAUGGAUAGGGGUUCUGAGAGGAAGGUCCCCCACAUUGGAACUGAGACACGGUCCAAACUCUACGGGAGGCAGCAGUGAGGAAUAUUGGUCAAUGGGCGCAGGCCUGAACCAGCCAAGUAGCGUGAAGGAUGACCGCCCUAUGGGUUGUAAACUUCUUUUAUAAAGGAAUAAAGUCGGGUAUGUAUACCCGUUUGCAUGUACUUUAUGAAUAAGGAUCGGCUAACUCCGUGCCAGCAGCCGCGGUAAUACGGAGGAUCCGAGCGUUAUCCGGAUUUAUUGGGUUUAAAGGGAGCGUAGAUGGAUGUUUAAGUCAGUUGUGAAAGUUUGCGGCUCAACCGUAAAAUUGCAGUUGAUACUGGAUAUCUUGAGUGCAGUUGAGGCAGGCGGAAUUCGUGGUGUAGCGGUGAAAUGCUUAGAUAUCACGAAGAACUCCGAUUGCGAAGGCAGCCUGCUAAGCUGCAACUGACAUUGAGGCUCGAAAGUGUGGGUAUCAAACAGGAUUAGAUACC